Non-coding RNA from Microcebus murinus (gray mouse lemur), 1106 nucleotides. The record is from RefSeq and is a predicted model, not a curated record. Lineage: Eukaryota; Metazoa; Chordata; Mammalia; Primates; Cheirogaleidae.
UUGGUUCUGAAACCAGACCUGGACCACGCGCACGCUGAGGCCCGUCUCAGCCGCCAGCGUCUCCCGGACCUGGCCGGAGAGAGCAGACAGGGCUUGGAGGAAACCUCAAAGGAGGCCUUGAAGGCCCUUCGCUGCUGCGUGUGCCCUUGGGAUGAAGUCCACCUCCCUGCCCCGGCCUUUCGUCUCCUGUCCUGUGCCCUGCGAGCCCCUUCCCCAGCACACGCUGCCCACACAGCUGGACCUGCAGACUGAACACGGGCGCGCUGCGGACCACAGGCACAGACGUGCACACGCGAACGUGCUGCUGCUCGCUUGGGUGCACCCAUACUCAAAAGGCUUCGAUGCAGACCCAUGUGGGAAACAGGGCCAACAGACCCCUAAAGAGAAAGGCUGGCACCUGUGGACUGUUCCGGCCCUGGGCUUCCCGGACCCAUCUGGUCUGGGACCUGCCUUGUCCCAUUGACCUCUGGUCCCUUGGAGACCCAGCCCAGCAUGUCCGCCUCCAAGAGAACCAGUUCCCACUGCGCCAGCCCAGUGCCGGCCAGGCGUGAGUGCCUCAGGGGAGACCGCAGGGAGUUGCUUCCUUGAAGCUUCCAGGGGUGAAGAAUGGACAGGCAAAGACACGUGCACCGACAUCCUCACGCGAGGGUGAACACAGCAUGCAGUCGCCCUUGCACAGCAGCUGGCCCUCCUUGAGCACAAACUCGUCGCCCUUGCGGAGCUGCCGCUCGCACACGCAGCAGCAGAAGCAGCCCAGGUGGUACACGCACUCCAGCGCCCGCAUCACGAACUCCGUGGGGGCGAUCUUCUCCAUGCAGCCGCUGCACUUGGCUGCGAAGAGCCUGCAGCUUCCGCACCUCCAUCGUGAACGGGCGUUUACUGAGCACGUACAGCACGGCAGGCGCUGCGCUGAGCACCGUCCGCGCAGAAACGCAUUCAAUCCUCGCAACAACCCCACGAGACAAGGACGAAUAUUGAUCCCAUUUUAGAGAUGAGGAAAUUGAGGUGCUGGGUGGCAGCGUCGCUUGUUCAGGUCACGUGAGUAGCGAGUGCUGCAGCCCACUCCCAGCCCGGGCCUGGUCGGGCCCUCCGUGACAAAGGCGCUC